This 496-nucleotide ribosomal RNA is filed under the name uncultured bacterium. RNAcentral's name for it is "bacterial SSU rRNA". It matches the Rfam family "Bacterial small subunit ribosomal RNA", at positions 355 to 866 of the family's 1533-position model. The record is from RNAcentral.
UGGGGAAUCUUGGACAAUGGGGGCAACCCUGAUCCAGCCAUGCCGCGUGAGUGAUGAAGGCCUUAGGGUCGUAAAGCUCUUUCGCCUGUGAAGAUAAUGACGGUAGCAGGUAAAGAAACCCCGGCUAACUCCGUGCCAGCAGCCGCGGUAAUACGGAGGGGGUUAGCGUUGUUCGGAAUUACUGGGCGUAAAGCGCACGUAGGCGGACCAGAAAGUUGGGGGUGAAAUCCCGGGGGCUCAACCCCGGAACUGCCUCCAAAACUAUUGGUCUAGAGUUCGAGAGAGGUGAGUGGAAUUCCAAGUGUAGAGGUGAAAUUCGUAGAUAUUUGGAGGAACACCAGUGGCGAAGGCGGCUCACUGGCUCGAUACUGACGCUGAGGUGCGAAAGUGUGGGGAGCAAACAGGAUUAGAUACCCUGGGUAGUCCACACCGUAAAACGAUGAAUGCCAGUCGUCGGGUAGCAUGCUAUUCGGUGACACACCUAACGGAUUAAGCA